GAGCCGGCCCCCGCCGCCGACAGCGGCCACCCGGAGCGGCGGCACGGCAGCGACAAAGAGGACAAAAAGGCAUCUACACUGAAACUGUCUGGAUUUCAUUGGGCAUGUGGCCUGAUGGUGGCUCAAAUUUUCUGAAAUACAUUCCAGAGGAUGCAGCAGACCUGUGGCUGUGGCUCCUUUGCACAUAAAUGUUAUUGUGUGUUUGUUUGACCAUGGUAGGAUAUUUAAUGUGUCAUAGAAACACAUUCUGUGUGCCCAGACUCAGUGUCAGUGCCACCACAGAACCUUUCAGACAAAUGUAUUUUCCCUCAUUUGACCCUUUAAAAAAAAAAAAAAAAAAAAAAAAAGCACAACCCCAGACUUUGAGAAACUGUAAUUUCCUGUGAAAAAUGUACCUUCCUGUCUUCUUCUGGGGGAAAAGGGAACUUUGUUAUAUCCAUUGUUGUAAGUGAAAUACAGUGUACAGCAUGCUAAGUAAUUGCUCAGUUAAAUGUCAGUGUGAAUCCAGAAA
Centrocercus urophasianus (Greater sage-grouse) is the source of this 511-nucleotide long non-coding RNA. RefSeq lists it as uncharacterized. The transcript is spliced from 3 exons. NCBI's taxonomy places the organism in Eukaryota, Metazoa, Chordata, Aves, Galliformes, Phasianidae. The record is from RefSeq and is a predicted model, not a curated record.